This is a long non-coding RNA of Gallus gallus (chicken), 2329 nucleotides long. NCBI's taxonomy places the organism in Eukaryota, Metazoa, Chordata, Aves, Galliformes, Phasianidae. The record is from Ensembl.
AGAAUCCCAGAGCUUGUGAACAAUGCAUUGCAUUGACAUUUAAACACUGACAAGAAAAGUGAAGAGAUUAAGCAGAAGAAUAGAACUAGACAAGAAGAUAUUGUCACACCGGAACAAUUUGCCUCUUCCUUGGAAAAGAUUACAAAAACCUUGAAUAGGGAGGAGGGAAAGGGCACCGUGAUAAAUGAGAGCACCUAAACCACAUUAGAUCAACUGAUAACAUAGUCAUCUUUGCCAAAAUCCCUGAAGACCUUGAAACACCGAUGAGAGAAUUAAUCAUGAAGAGUAUGGUUUGAGUAAUUAGGAGAGGAAGAGCUGAGCUUGAAGUGAAGCUUGACCCCAAGCCUCCACCCUGUAUUGUAAUCAAGGAUGACCCAAACCUUUGCAGAAGUAUGAGGAAAAGGCAAAGGCACUUUUUUCACCUCAUUAUUUCUCGCUGUAUUUCAUCGUAGCCAAGAGAGAGUGCUAUGGAUAAUCUCAGAGCAGUAACAACUAAAAUAGCACCAGAACAGCAAGACAUUAUGACUUUAACAGCCAGUACUGCAGCCACAGUAAUUAGCCCUGCUUCUCAGCAGUGAGGAAGGGCAUGUUAAUGAGGAUGAGUACAGUGCUGUGCUCAUUCUAUGGAUCUGAUUCCAUGAACCAAGUGAGGCCCUUGCUUUGUGCUGGUCUACCAUGGAGAAAUAGCAGAUCCCAUGACAUUAAGUGAGGUGUAUCUAGCAUAGCAAAAUCUAACACACAGCAAGGCCAACGUGUGCAUAUCCUGGACAGUGCACUGGCCAGCAAGCUGCAGGAAGAGUUGAGCUUGAAGGAGCUUUAUGGUAUCUCAUGCAUUGGAGAACAGAGGAUAAGGUAGGAAGAAGAAUACAGUGUGCCUUCAUGCUGUCAUCUUAUUGUAUACCAAACGUGUCACCCUCAGAGAAAAGAGCCUACAUAGAAGACCUGGAAAAGAUAAGAUGUGGAGAUGCUGAGGGGUACUACACUGAGGCUUUUUCGCCUGUGUGAUGAGUGCAGAGAAUACUCAUGGCCUCAGUCCCUGGCUGUCUGAGCCACAGUACCUCAGGACUGACAGAGGAUCAGGACUCCUAUCCAUGACUGACAGAGAUUCCUAGGGCUUUGUUGUCAGUGAAGGACACGACUUCCCUUGGGACAAACAACUGACAGAAGAAAUAACUUUUCAGUCUGAAUCCAGUAACCUUCUGGCCAGAUUGAAGACGACCUGUUUGGCAGGAUUUUUAAAGAGAGAUUUUCUCUUUGAUUUGCCCACAUCCUCCUGAUGCUGAAGUAUCCAAAAGAGAGGAGAGGAAAGUGAUUGCAGAAGCAAGAUAAACUUGGAACGUAGGAAGCUGCGGUUGAAUUAUUUUAUGGAGGGCUGCUGAAAGAGAGGGUGUAUGGAAGAAAGGAGAGACUGCAGCAGAAAGUGCUUGCAGUUUUCCUUGUGCCUUUGCUGGGAUGCAGGGGACAGCUGACACAGCAGCAGCAGCAGCAGGAAGAGCAAACAAGGAGCAAUCUCAUCCGGUGCUCUGCUCUGCUGCUGCUGUCAGUUUUCGUGCUGACUUAACCUAGCAGGAAAUCCAAGAAAAAUAAGAAUGGAAAAUGGAGAGAAAGCUUCAUCAAGAUGUGCAGAAGGUGCAUGCAUGUAGACCUAGCUGAGGGCGUCAGGAUUUUGGAAGAACAAAAAACAUGGCAAGAGCUGGACGUUGUGAGUACACUGCAAGGUCCUUCAGCUCUGGAGUCUGGACUCAAAACACUCCCACAACCAUGGCUGAGCUCUUGGCUGGGGCUCCUGCUGUCUGAGGAACCCAAGCAGGGAGGUAAGGCUAAAGGCGAGAUCCCGUUACGGCCAUGGCAGAAAACCAAAGCAAAACAGCAGUUAGGACUACAUGAAUGACGACUCCUGUAUCUGCAGGCUGAAUGGCUGUGUGUAUUUUGGGCUCAUUAAAAUGUCUGAGCUAAUUUCUUCUGCUGUGCUAUAGCAAAAUUGCCAUUUUAGAGCAAAAAGCGCUCCCACAGGUGCCUCGUCCAAAAUGCAAGUGUUAAAACAGAAAAGCUAGGCCAAGACUGCAACAGAGGAACGUUUGGGAAAUAGUAACUGGAACAUUCGUUAGUAAUUUUUCUAGGGUCACAAUUUCAGCACUGAGUUCUCUUCUUGCAGAUAAAAUUUAAUGCCUGUAAAUAGUUACACAUUUUUCAUAUAGGUAGUCAUGGUGUUUUCAUUCAUGUUUUUAGUAGCUAAAUACAAAUGUUUGCAACUGCAAAUCUAAGGUCAAACACAUGUACUUUUAUUGGACAUUCAGGUCCAUAUUGCUUUGGUAUAAAUAAUAAUAAA